AAGAUAUUUGGUGAAGCAAUAUUCAGUCUCUCUAUCGACCCUGCCUGGCCCCAAAUGCAGGCAGACACCAGAGCAGUCUUGCUUACAUUUAAUGCAGAAACAUUUGCAGGUUUUCUCAAGAGUUGAGAGGGAUCUUCAAAUAUAUAGAAGAAAAAACAGCCUUCUGGAGAGCUUGAAACGCUGGGCUCUGAACCUGUGGUUCUUGCUGAAAUCACAUAACACCUUGAAGAUGACUAAACUGAGACUCUUGUGCUUUGGAUGUAUCUUGCAAAAAUAUUACUUGCUUGAAAAGAAAAUAAGAUUCGCCUUUCCCCCCAAACAGGUGGACACACUAGGGAGCAGAUGGCUUCAAAUUCAACCAAUGACAGUUGAUUAAAAUUCCCACCAGGCCACUCUGCCAAUCAGCAACUGAGAUUCAAGAAACUUUGCAUUUUCAACUAAUCAGUAGCCAGGAACAGGAAAUCCCUGCAUCCAAUGGGACCACAGAUUCUUAAACUGCACCAAUUUACCAAUGUUUCCUACUUUUCUUUAAUGUCUGUAAAAAUUCUAAUUUUUAAAAAUUCACACUUGUGACUUGUAAGAAUGUCAGAUUUGAGAUUUUUUACUUCGUCCCCUCUUAUCCACUUUGGGCAUUGCUGAAUAAAGGUUUGUAGAUUAUGGCAUUUCCACCAUGUUGGAGUGUGUAACAAUACGUAAUUACACUGGCUAACACGCAUUUUGGUGCUUCAGAUGUUGGCCCUGUUUCUGUGUAUAUUUGACCUGCUGAUUCCAAAAAUAGCACUAGUUUCCCCCUCUCAGAUCUAGUUUUUGAGUUACAGGACAUAUGCCAUCUACCAUUUGCCAUCCACUCGCCCAUAGAAAAUCAUAAUAAUAUCUAAGAAACUAUACAAUGUAAUUUCUGAAACAGAGCCUCAAAUAAUCUCAGGAACAAGCCUAAAAAUCAAAAUAACAAGCAUUUUUUGUUGGGCUGUAUUAUUACCAACCAUUUUUGUGGUGAUACAGAUGGACCAUAUUCUGUCUUUAUUAGCAGAAAUUGGGUUACUUUCACCCCACCCGGCAAUAGCUCCUCUUCCUCUAUAGAUCAAUGUGUUGUUUUGAAAAGUGCUGUCAGAAUAGUGGUUUUGAGAAUGGAGCAUAUUGAUACUGAUGAUGAAAGGAAGAGCAAUUGCUAUUUUUAAAAGAGGAGUUAAAAGUUGGGAUAACAACUCAUUUCAUUCUGACUCAACUUUCAGUUUUUCUGUGGUUGGAUUUUGUUAGAUUUGUCAUUUUCUGUUGUAUGUUGGAAAGCUUUUCUAGUGUUAGGUUACAUGGAAUGUGGUUGUAUUUUUGUUCUAGUAGUGGGAUAAGAUUUGCAUUUGAAAAUUAAAAAUAGAAUUUACCCUAGGUGUUGAUAACAUUUGUCAUAGUACACAAAGAGUAGGAAUCUGUGUCAUCUAACUACAAAAUCUUGUCUCCUUACAUUGCAAUCCAUUGUCCUUUCAGAGUAGCAGAGGUAUCUGUGUGCCAGCAUUAUGCAACUUUCAUGCAGAAUAGCAACAUCAUGCAACACAUGUUAAUAACUGAGCGCCAUUGUGCAAUGCACAGUGUGACGACUGGAACAUACUACUGUAGUGCACUAUGUAAAGUGCAAUGGGUAACAUAUGACUACAAUAUGCAAUUGCUUUGCACAACCACAAUGCACAAUGCAAAAUUGUAAUGUACAAUGUAAAUAAUUAUUUUAUGUGCAGCUGCACUCCUACUACUCUCCAGCAUUUGUCUGUUGUGCUAUGAUAAAUAAUUUACUUCUCAUGUAUAGUGCAAGUUAUGCAUGGAUAUACCAUGAACUGAAUGUCAGCCUUGGAAUGAAGGUAGAACUGAGGAAAUGACAGGCUUAGUUUGAAAUAGCCAAGAUAAUAUUGUUCAGUGGUUAAAAUGACUAUGAAAGCCAAAGGAAGAGCCAAAGUAAGUGCACAAAGUAAAGGAGUCAGCCAUCAGCCACGAAUGGAGGGGAGUAGCUUUUAUCAGUUGGUUGCCAUGGAAAGCAGCCAUGGCUUUCCAUUGAAUCUCUUUCCUACAUCUUGAUAUGCUGGGAUUAUUUUCCCA
This is a long non-coding RNA of Anolis carolinensis (green anole), 2082 nucleotides long. The record is from Ensembl. Lineage: Eukaryota; Metazoa; Chordata; Lepidosauria; Squamata; Anolidae.